GAUCCUGGCUCAGGAUGAACGCUGGCGGCGUGCUUAACACAUGCAAGUCGAGCGAAGCGGUUUCAAUGAAGUUUUCGGAUGGAUUUGAGAUUGACUUAGCGGCGGACGGGUGAGUAACGCGUGGGUAACCUGCCUUACACUGGGGGAUAACAGUUAGAAAUGACUGCUAAUACCGCAUAAGCGCACAGGGCCGCAUGGUCCGGUGUGAAAAACUCCGGUGGUGUAAGAUGGACCCGCGU
This 239-nucleotide ribosomal RNA is filed under the name uncultured bacterium. RNAcentral describes it as "partial 16S ribosomal RNA". It matches the Rfam family "Bacterial small subunit ribosomal RNA", at positions 15 to 236 of the family's 1533-position model. The record is from RNAcentral.